Molecule: ribosomal RNA, 253 nt
Filed under: uncultured bacterium
Lineage: Bacteria
Description: partial 16S ribosomal RNA
Rfam family: Bacterial small subunit ribosomal RNA
Source: RNAcentral
UACGAAGGGGGCUAGCGUUGUUCGGAAUUACUGGGCGUAAAGCGCGCGCAGGCGGUCUUCCAAGUCAGUGGUGAAAGCCUGGAGCUCAACUCCAGAACUGCCAUUGAAACUGUUAGACUUGAGUACGAGAGAGGUGAGUGGAAUUCCCAGUGUAGAGGUGAAAUUCGUAGAUAUUGGGAAGAACACCAGUGGCGAAGGCGGCUCACUGGCUCGUAACUGACGCUCAGGCGCGACAGCGUGGGGAGCAAACAGG